Molecule: small nuclear RNA, 138 nt
Organism: Fukomys damarensis (Damara mole-rat)
Lineage: Eukaryota; Metazoa; Chordata; Mammalia; Rodentia; Bathyergidae
Gene: U4
Rfam family: U4 spliceosomal RNA
About the family: U4 small nuclear RNA (U4 snRNA) is a component of the major U2-dependent spliceosome. The structure of U4 snRNA from yeast and human has been reported.
Source: Ensembl
AGCUUUGCGCAGUGGCAGUAUCGUAGCCAAUGAGGUUUAUCCGAGGCGCGAUUAUUGCUAAUUGAAAACUUUUCUCAAAUACCCAUGUAUGUAUCUUAUGUACAUUCUGACUCUCAUUGCUGGAUAUUUCUGUAGCAC